GCCGGGUGUGGUGGCCUGCGCCUGUAAUCCCAGCUACUUGGGAGGCUGAGGCAGGAGAAUGGUGUGAACCUGGGAGGCAGAGCUUGCAGUGAGCCGAGAUAGCGCCACUGCACUCCAGCCUGGCAACAGAGACUCCCUCUCAAAAAAAAAAAAAAAGACCAAGUCUCGCUCUGCUACCCAGGCUGGAGUGCAGUGGUGCCGUCUCGGAUCACUGCAACCUCCGCCUCCCACGUUCAAGCAAUUCUCAUGCCUCAG
This 255-nucleotide signal recognition particle RNA is filed under the name Macaca fascicularis (crab-eating macaque). RNAcentral describes it as "Metazoan signal recognition particle RNA (ENSMFAG00000064080.1)". It matches the Rfam family "Metazoan signal recognition particle RNA". Rfam says of the family: The signal recognition particle (SRP) is a universally conserved ribonucleoprotein. The record is from Rfam by way of RNAcentral. Lineage: Eukaryota; Metazoa; Chordata; Mammalia; Primates; Cercopithecidae.